UUUUUUUUUAUAUAUACCUUUUCAUUUCUUUUGUAUGUAGGGGGAAUGUGAUAGUAAGAGGGUAGGAACGAGAGGACAGACACGCUUUAUGAAAUGCCCUCAAAUUUAAUAUUCAUAAAACAAAUGUUUGGAUGAAGAUAGUGUCACUGUGUUGUGAACACUCCUGUACAAUACAGCGGGUUUUGGUGGGAUGACCCAAGAAUAAAAAUCCUCCUGGCGCCCAUAACCUAUUAGUUAAGGUUAAUUUUAGUUUAUAAGUUUAGUUAAUUAGUUAAUGCAUGUUAGUAUUUACUUAGCUUAAGGUUUGUCAUAAAUAUUUCAAAAUGUG
Long non-coding RNA from Pieris rapae (cabbage white), 328 nucleotides. RefSeq lists it as uncharacterized. The transcript has 2 exons. Lineage: Eukaryota; Metazoa; Arthropoda; Insecta; Lepidoptera; Pieridae. The record is from RefSeq and is a predicted model, not a curated record.